UACGGAGGGGGCUAGCGUUGUUCGGAAUUACUGGGCGUAAAGCGCGCGUAGGCGGACCUGCAAGUCGGGGGUGAAAGCCCGAGGCUCAACCUCGGAACUGCCUUCGAUACUGCGGGUCUCGAGUCCGGGAGAGGUGAGUGGAAUUCCUAGUGUAGAGGUGAAAUUCGUAGAUAUUAGGAAGAACACCAGUGGCGAAGGCGGCUCACUGGCCCGGUACUGACGCUGAG
This 227-nucleotide ribosomal RNA is filed under the name uncultured bacterium. Its description in RNAcentral is "partial 16S ribosomal RNA". It matches the Rfam family "Bacterial small subunit ribosomal RNA", at positions 524 to 750 of the family's 1533-position model. The record is from RNAcentral.